AAACUGCGAAUGGCUCAUUAAAUCAGUUAUCGUUUAUUUGAUAGUACCUUGCUACUUGGAUAACCGUGGUAAUUCUAGAGCUAAUACAUGCGAAAAACCCCGACUUCGGGAGGGGUGUGUUUAUUAGAUAAAAAACCAAUGCCCUCACGGGCUCUUUGGUGAUUCAUAAUAACCAAACGAAUCGCAUGGCCUUGCGCCGGCGAUGGUUCAUUCAAAUUUCUGCCCUAUCAACUUUCGAUGGUAGGAUAGUGGCCUACCAUGGUAUCAACGGGUAACGGGGAAUUAGGGUUCUAUUCCGGAGAGGGAGCCUGAGAAACGGCUACCACAUCCAAGGAAGGCAGCAGGCGCGCAAAUUACCCAAUCCCGACACGGGGAGGUAGUGACAAUAAAUACUGAUACAGGGCUCUUAUGGGUCUUGUAAUUGGAAUGAGUACAAUUUAAAUCCCUUAACGAGGAACAAUUGGAGGGCAAGUCUGGUGCCAGCAGCCGCGGUAAUUCCAGCUCCAAUAGCGUAUAUUAAAGUUGUUGCAGUUAAAAAGCUCGUAGUUGAACCUUGGGCCUGGCUGGCCGGUCCGCCUCACCGCGUGCACUGGUUCGGCCGGGCCUUUCCUUCUGGGGAUGCGCAUGCCCUUCACUGGGCGUGUCGUGGAACCAGGACAUUUACUUUGAAAAAAUUAGAGUGUUCAAAGCAGGCCUUUGCUCGGAUACAUUAGCAUGGAAUAAUAGAAUAGGACGGCUUUCCUAUUUUGUUGGUUUCUAGGGAAGCCGUAAUGAUUAAUAGGGAUAGUCGGGGGCAUCAGUAUUCAAUUGUCAGAGGUGAAAUUCUUGGAUUUAUUGAAGACUAACUACUGCGAAAGCAUUUGCCAAGGAUGUUUUCAUUAAUCAGUGAACGAAAGUUAGGGGAUCGAAGACGAUCAGAUACCGUCGUAGUCUUAACCAUAAACUAUGCCGACUAGGGAUCGGGCGAUGUUACUAUCUUGACUCGCUCGGCACCUUACGAGAAAUCAAAGUCU
This 1013-nucleotide ribosomal RNA is filed under the name Trichodelitschia bisporula. RNAcentral's name for it is "SSU rRNA". It matches the Rfam family "Eukaryotic small subunit ribosomal RNA", at positions 84 to 1106 of the family's 1831-position model. Lineage: Eukaryota; Fungi; Ascomycota; Dothideomycetes; Phaeotrichales; Phaeotrichaceae. The record is from RNAcentral.